GAUGAACGCUGGCGGCGUGCCUAACACAUGCAAGUCGAGCGGACAGACGAGGCUUUUGCCCGGCUGACGCGAGGGGCGGGCGGGUGAGUCACACGAGGAUACCCUACCUAUAAGACUGAGAUCACUACGGGAAAGCGGAUAUAACACCGGAUAAGAUAUUGAACCGCGGGGGUCGAUAGAGAAAGACGGUUGUGCUGGCCCUAAUAGAGGGUUCCGGGCCGGAUGAGUUAGUGGGUACGGUGACGGCCUACCAAGGCGACGAUGCGUAGCCGAGCUGAGAGGGUGAUAGGCCACACUGGAACUGAGACACGGUCCAGACUCCUACGGGAGGCAGCAGUCGGGAAUCUUCGGCAAUGGGCGAAAGCUUGACGCAGCAACGCCGCGUGUGUGAUGAAGGUCUUCGGAUCGUAAAGCUCUGUUAUUAGGGAGGAACAACUGUGUAAUUAAACAUGGCCGUCUUGACGGUACCUAAUCAAAAAGCACCGGCUAACUACGUG
Molecule: ribosomal RNA, 497 nt
Filed under: uncultured bacterium
Lineage: Bacteria
Description: partial 16S ribosomal RNA
Rfam family: Bacterial small subunit ribosomal RNA
Source: RNAcentral